AGCGUACACGGUGGAUGCCCUGGCAGUCAGAGGCGAUGAAGGGCGUGCUAAUCUGCGAUAAGCGCCGGUAAGGUGAUAUGAACCGUUAUAACCGGCGAUACCCGAAUGGGGAAACCCAGUGUGAUUCGUCACACUAUCAUUAACUGAAUCCAUAGGUUAAUGAGGCGAACCGGGGGAACUGAAACAUCUAAGUACCCCGAGGAAAAGAAAUCAACCGAGAUUCCCCCAGUAGCGGCGAGCGAACGGGGAGGAGCCCAGAGCCUGAAUCAGCAUGUGUGUUAGUGGAAGCGUCUGGAAAGGCGCGCGAUACAGGGUGACAGCCCCGUACACAAAAGCGCAUGUGCUGUGAGCUCGAUGAGUAGGGCGGGACACGUGGUAUCCUGUCUGAAUAUGGGGGGACCAUCCUCCAAGGCUAAAUACUCCUGACUGACCGAUAGUGAACCAGUACCGUGAGGGAAAGGCGAAAAGAACCCCGGCGAGGGGAGUGAAAAAGAACCUGAAACCGUGUACGUACAAGCAGUGGGAGCACAGGUUUACCUGUGUGACUGCGUACCUUUUGUAUAAUGGGUCAGCGACUUAUAUUCUGUAGCAAGGUUAACCGAAUAGGGGAGCCGGAGGGAAACCGAGUCUUAAUUGGGCGUUAAGUUGCAGGGUAUAGACCCGAAACCCGGUGAUCUAGCCAUGGGCAGGUUGAAGGUUGGGUAACACUAACUGGAGGACCGAACCGACUAAUGUUGAAAAAUUAGCGGAUGACCUGUGGCUGGGGGUGAAAGGCCAAUCAAACCGGGAGAUAGCUGGUUCUCCCCGAAAGCUAUUUAGGUAGCGCCUCGUGAAUUCAUCUCCGGGGGUAGAGCACUGUUUCGGCUAGGGGGCCAUCCCGGCUUACCAACCCGAUGCAAACUGCGAAUACCGGAGAAUGUUAUCACGGGAGACACACGGCGGGUGCUAACGUCCGUCGUGAAGAGGGAAACAACCCAGACCGCCAGCUAAGGUCCCAAAGUCAUGGUUAAGUGGGAAACGAUGUGGGAAGGCCCAGACAGCCAGGAUGUUGGCUUAGAAGCAGCCAUCAUUUAAAGAAAGCGUAAUAGCUCACUGGUCGAGUCGGCCUGCGCGGAAGAUGUAACGGGGCUAAACCAUGCACCGAAGCUGCGGCAGCGACACUGUGUGUUGUUGGGUAGGGGAGCGUUCUGUAAGCCUGUGAAGGUGUGUCGUGAGGCAUGCUGGAGGUAUCAGAAGUGCGAAUGCUGACAUAAGUAACGAUAAAGCGGGUGAAAAGCCCGCUCGCCGGAAGACCAAGGGUUCCUGUCCAACGUUAAUCGGGGCAGGGUGAGUCGACCCCUAAGGCGAGGCCGAAAGGCGUAGUCGAUGGGAAACGGGUUAAUAUUCCCGUACUUGGUGUUACUGCGAAGGGGGGACGGAGAAGGCUAUGUUGGCCGGGCGACGGUUGUCCCGGUUUAAGCGUGUAGGUGUGUGUUCCAGGUAAAUCCGGUUCACUUUAACACUGAGGCGUGACGACGAGGCACUACGGUGCUGAAGCAACAAAUGCCCUGCUUCCAGGAAAAGCCUCUAAGCAUCAGGUAACAUCAAAUCGUACCCCAAACCGACACAGGUGGUCAGGUAGAGAAUACCAAGGCGCUUGAGAGAACUCGGGUGAAGGAACUAGGCAAAAUGGUGCCGUAACUUCGGGAGAAGGCACGCUGACACGUAGGUGAAGUGAUUUACUCAUGGAGCUGAAGUCAGUCGAAGAUACCAGCUGGCUGCAACUGUUUAUUAAAAACACAGCACUGUGCAAACACGAAAGUGGACGUAUACGGUGUGACGCCUGCCCGGUGCCGGAAGGUUAAUUGAUGGGGUCAGCGCAAGCGAAGCUCCUGAUCGAAGCCCCGGUAAACGGCGGCCGUAACUAUAACGGUCCUAAGGUAGCGAAAUUCCUUGUCGGGUAAGUUCCGACCUGCACGAAUGGCGUAAUGAUGGCCAGGCUGUCUCCACCCGAGACUCAGUGAAAUUGAACUCGCUGUGAAGAUGCAGUGUACCCGCGGCAAGACGGAAAGACCCCGUGAACCUUUACUAUAGCUUGACACUGAACAUUGAGCCUUGAUGUGUAGGAUAGGUGGGAGGCUUUGAAGUGUGGACGCCAGUCUGCAUGGAGCCGACCUUGAAAUACCACCCUUUAAUGUUUGAUGUUCUAACGUGGACCCGUUACCCGGGUUGCGGACAGUGUCUGGUGGGUAGUUUGACUGGGGCGGUCUCCUCCUAAAGAGUAACGGAGGAGCACGAAGGUUGGCUAAUCCUGGUCGGACAUCAGGAGGUUAGUGCAAUGGCAUAAGCCAGCUUGACUGCGAGCGUGACGGCGCGAGCAGGUGCGAAAGCAGGUCAUAGUGAUCCGGUGGUUCUGAAUGGAAGGGCCAUCGCUCAACGGAUAAAAGGUACUCCGGGGAUAACAGGCUGAUACCGCCCAAGAGUUCAUAUCGACGGCGGUGUUUGGCACCUCGAUGUCGGCUCAUCACAUCCUGGGGCUGAAGUAGGUCCCAAGGGUAUGGCUGUUCGCCAUUUAAAGUGGUACGCGAGCUGGGUUUAGAACGUCGUGAGACAGUUCGGUCCCUAUCUGCCGUGGGCGCUGGAGAACUGAGGGGGGCUGCUCCUAGUACGAGAGGACCGGAGUGGACGCAUCACUGGUGUUCGGGUUGUCAUGCCAAUGGCACUGCCCGGUAGCUAAAUGCGGAAGAGAUAAGUGCUGAAAGCAUCUAAGCACGAAACUUGCCCCGAGAUGAGUUCU
Molecule: ribosomal RNA, 2776 nt
Filed under: Salmonella enterica subsp. enterica serovar Enteritidis
Lineage: Bacteria; Pseudomonadati; Pseudomonadota; Gammaproteobacteria; Enterobacterales; Enterobacteriaceae
Description: bacterial LSU rRNA
Rfam family: Bacterial large subunit ribosomal RNA
Source: RNAcentral